CACGGAGGAUGCGAGCGUUAUCCGGAUUUAUUGGGUUUAAAGGGUGCGUAGGUGGCUGAUUAAGUCAGUGGUGAAAGUUUGUCGCUCAACGAUAAAAUUGCCAUUGAAACUGGCCGGCUUGAGUAUGUUUGAGGUAGGCGGAAUGCGUGGUGUAGCGGUGAAAUGCAUAGAUAUCACGCAGAACUCCGAUUGCGAAGGCAGCUUACCAAACCAUAACUGACACUGAAGCACGAAAGCGUGGGUAUCAAACAGG
RNAcentral lists this ribosomal RNA (253 nucleotides) under uncultured bacterium. RNAcentral's name for it is "partial 16S ribosomal RNA". It matches the Rfam family "Bacterial small subunit ribosomal RNA", at positions 524 to 776 of the family's 1533-position model. The record is from RNAcentral.